RNAcentral lists this ribosomal RNA (430 nucleotides) under Bacillota bacterium. RNAcentral describes it as "Firmicutes bacterium partial 16S ribosomal RNA". It matches the Rfam family "Bacterial small subunit ribosomal RNA", at positions 355 to 776 of the family's 1533-position model. Lineage: Bacteria; Bacillati; Bacillota. The record is from RNAcentral.
UGGGGAAUAUUGGACAAUGGGCGCAAGCCUGAUCCAGCCAUGCCGCGUGUGUAAAGAAGGCCUUUUGGUUGUAAAGCACUUUAAGCGAGGAGGAGGCUACUUGGAUUAAUACUCUAGGAUAGUGGACGUUACUCGCAGAAUAAGCACCGGCUAACUCUGUGCCAGCAGCCGCGGUAAUACAGAGGGUGCGAGCGUUAAUCGGAUUUACUGGGCGUAAAGCGUGCGUAGGCGGCUUCUUAAGUCGGAUGUGAAAUCCCUGAGCUUAACUUAGGAAUUGCAUUCGAUACUGGGAAGCUAGAGUAUGGGAGAGGAUGGUAGAAUUCCAGGUGUAGCGGUGAAAUGCGUAGAGAUCUGGAGGAAUACCGAUGGCGAAGGCAGCCAUCUGGCCUAAUACUGACGCUGAGGUACGAAAGCAUGGGGAGCAAACAGG